This is a small nuclear RNA of Dromiciops gliroides (monito del monte), 107 nucleotides long. The record is from RefSeq and is a predicted model, not a curated record. NCBI's taxonomy places the organism in Eukaryota, Metazoa, Chordata, Mammalia, Microbiotheria, Microbiotheriidae.
GUGCUUGCUUCAGCAGGAUAUAUACUAAAAUUGAAACAAUACAGAGAAUAUUAGCAUGGCCCCUGUAAAAGGAUGGCACACAGAUUUGUGAAGCAUUCCAUAUUUUA